AAGCCGAAACAGGGCAGGUUAUUAAAGAGCUCGACCGAAGGCAUAGUGUACGAAGCGAAAGGGAAUGGAUUCAUCAUUGUCCGGUAACAACGGCGUUUCUUUUCUUUCUUAUUCGUAACUGCGAGCUUUGCACCCUUCGAUGAUGAGGAGAGUGGUGAAGGCUUGUUUCGUAUUCAGCGACAUUGUUCGUACGUACUUGGGAAACUUCACUUCUCUUUCGUACGCUCCUCUCGCUUCACUCGAGCUUCAGCAAGGGGAGGUUCUGAAAGAGUCACCUUUGCGCCCUCCUUUUCCUUCUUUUUCUUCAACCUCUCCUUCCUUCUUUCUCAUUCCGGCAUGAGAUUCAUCUUCUUCUCCCCACUGCUGACCCAUAUCCGAUUUCUUUCCUCUCUUCCGACGCCGUCGACAAGGGAUGGAUAUUCAAUCCAGAGUAGGAGGGGGUGGACUGGACUUCGACGAGGGGGGAUGACAAGCACUGGUCACGGGGAGACAAUCUCACUUCUAAUCUCAUGAUGAAGCAGAAGAGGGAAAACUCUUCGUAGCAGAUGAUCAACCCAUAAAAGAGGGAUUUGGUUCCUGCACUACUAUGCCCCAUGAUGGCUUCACGGUUUCAAUUGGGGCUUAUGAUCAUGGAGAGGUCCGAUGGACAUAGUCUACUCUACGGGACUCCACUUUUCUACCCAGAAAAAAAAAAUCAUUUCACUGGUCCUGGAGCCCAUGAAAGUAAUGCUUUAUGAAAGCCAACUGUUUCAACAUCCAA
Molecule: long non-coding RNA, 760 nt
Filed under: Coffea arabica (coffee)
Lineage: Eukaryota; Viridiplantae; Streptophyta; Magnoliopsida; Gentianales; Rubiaceae
Description: long non-coding RNA (CARA_LNC007171)
Source: RNAcentral